This 206-nucleotide ribosomal RNA is filed under the name uncultured bacterium. RNAcentral describes it as "partial 16S ribosomal RNA". It matches the Rfam family "Bacterial small subunit ribosomal RNA", at positions 568 to 773 of the family's 1533-position model. The record is from RNAcentral.
CGCGUAGGCGGCCCGCUAAGUCGAACGUGAAAUCCCCGGGCUCAACCCGGGAACUGCGUCCGAUACUGGCAGGCUUGAAUCCGGGAGAGGGAUGUGGAAUUCCAGGUGUAGCGGUGAAAUGCGUAGAUAUCUGGAGGAACACCGGUGGCGAAGGCGGCAUCCUGGACCGGUAUUGACGCUGAGGCGCGAAAGCCAGGGGAGCAAAC